UGGCGGACGGGUGAGUAACGCGUGGAUAACCUGCCGUAUACCGGGGGAGUAACACUUAGAAAUAGGUGCUAAUACCGCAUAAGCGCACGGCUCCGCAUGGGGCAGUGUGAAAAACUCCGGUGGUAUACGAUGGAUCCGCGUCUGAUUAGCUAGUUGGCGGGGUAACGGCCCACCAAGGCAGCGAUCAGUAGCCGGCCUGAGAGGGUGGACGGCCACAUUGGGACUGAGACACGGCCCAAACUCCUACGGGAGGCAGCAG
This 259-nucleotide ribosomal RNA is filed under the name uncultured bacterium. RNAcentral's name for it is "partial 16S ribosomal RNA". It matches the Rfam family "Bacterial small subunit ribosomal RNA", at positions 96 to 354 of the family's 1533-position model. The record is from RNAcentral.